GCAUCCUGGGAGCUUGCUCUUUCGGGUGGAGACCGGCGCACGGGUGCAGAACGCGUAUGUCAGCCGCCCCUGGCGGGAGAAUUCCCCGAAAAUCCUUGUAUUACUGCCCCAUGGCACCGCGAUAUCGCAUGAGAUUGUCGUUCCUUAUUUAUGAUGGAGGGAUGGCCAUGCGAUACCAUUGUUAGUGGGUGGGGUAACGGCCCAGCGACGCUCCGAUGGUGGUCUGCCCUGAUAGGGGGAUCCCCCGCACACUGUACUGAGACACCGACCUCACUCCUACGGGAGGCAGGGGAAUCGAAUAUUGGACAAUGGGCCCUGAUCUGAUCCUGCCAUGCCGUGUGCAAGAUGAUUGCCCUAUGGGUUGUCUUCUGCUUUUAUACGAAGGCUAAAUGCGCCCACCUGUGGGCGUCUGACGUUACCUACAGAAUAAGGACCGGCUAAUUCCGUGCCAGCAGCCGCGGUAAUACGAAAGGUCCGAGCGUUAUCCGGAAUCAUUGGGUUUAAAGGGUCGCGUAGGCGGGCCUGUAAGUCAGGAUGUGAAAGUUUGUGGCUCAACCUUGGAAUUGCCUUUGAUACUGCAGGUCUUGAGUCAUGGUGGGGGAGGUGGAAUUUGUGGUGUAGCGGUGAAAUGCAUAGAUAUCACAAGGAACACCAAUGGCGAAGGCGGUGUCCUGCACUGACACUGACGCUGAUGGUGCGAAAGCGUGGGGAGCGAACAGGAUUAGAUACCCUGGUAGUCCACGCCGUAACGAUGUCUACUAGCUGUGGGGAUUUUUAUCGACUUUGCUGGCGCAACUAGA
This 800-nucleotide ribosomal RNA is filed under the name Allomuricauda sp. RNAcentral describes it as "bacterial SSU rRNA". It matches the Rfam family "Bacterial small subunit ribosomal RNA", at positions 67 to 856 of the family's 1533-position model. Lineage: Bacteria; Pseudomonadati; Bacteroidota; Flavobacteriia; Flavobacteriales; Flavobacteriaceae. The record is from RNAcentral.